UGGCCCUGGCCCCGCUGCUCUUUUUACCGUGCUUCCAGUCCCACCAGAGACAGGCAUGCAAGUGACAUUACUCUUCUCCACCAAAGGGGGCUCCUUAGCUUAAGCCACCUCACCACACUCUAUUCGCUCCUCAUUAUUCAUUAGCAACCCUUAAUCCUUAUGAGCAUAGGAUCUUGAAUUCUUCGUGUGAUCUUGAAUUCUUUCCCCCUUUUCUUUUCUCCUACGCGUCCUCGCGUUCCGCGGAUUUGUUUUGCGGAUCAUCCGCCGUCCUCCGUUUCCCGGUGGGAAUUAUUCACCGGAGUGGGUCCGGCGAGCCGCCCGCCCGCUGUCCCGUCUGGCUGAAAUUGGUGUCUGACAUGGGCUGACAGGGGCCACGAUGUGGGCGCGCUCCGGAGACCAGUCUCGCUGUCGCGAACCCGAAGCCCGACCGCGGACGGGACUGAGCCGACACCUGAACAUGCCGAGCGCGGCGGCUUCGCGAGACCGAGACGCCGCGCGGCGGGAUGAAAAAUGGGCAGCCGUCCAAAAGACAGACGAGUUGUAGACACAGUUAACAUAUUGAUUCUGUGUCACUGGAUCACUGUUUGAGAGCCUUCCGGUGCACUCAGUAAAGGUCCUACUGCAGGAUCUUUCGUCAGGUGUUGUUCAUAAGGUAAACUAAAGACGUGGACGCUCAGAAUUUUAAUGUAUAUACCCACAACUCAUGGAUACGCAUAAAUGCUUGGGAUUACACACAGUCGAGUUAUUUAUCGCAAAAUUUACCCGGGAUGGCAACGGAUAUUUAAAAAUAAACACAAGUUAAAUACGAAGAGCAGUAUAGCAAAAAUAUAACAUAUAGAUAUAUAACAGUGCUACAUAUUCAAAUAUGAAAAAACUAUUAAACCUAAUGCAUUAACUGUGUACCCGAUACCGAGUAUUCCUGCCUGUUAGCACAAACCGUAAACAAAAUGACCAUAAGAGGUCACCCGUGUCUCUCCACUAAUACUAAGAAAUGUUUCUGUCAGUGGUUUUAGUUUAUGUGUGGAGCAUAAAACCUGAUAAAUCUGUGAUGGCUGGACCACUAGGCUACCCCGAUUCACGCCACAAAGGAAUGUGUUUUGCUGCCAAUUUUUAAGUGUAAGUAACAACUACUUGCAAAGCUAUUAUUAUUAUUAUUAUUGUUGUUGUUGUUGUUGUCAUCGUCAUUUUGUUGUUGCGCUGUUGAUACUGCUGCUGCUUUAGUAAAAAUGGUGCUGAUUAUUUUUGCAAAUCUUUUAGUGCAAACUACAACUACUUUCAAAAAUGCCUUUUUCUGAAAAAAAUAGCCAGUCUUGCCAAACAUCAGCCAUUCAAGACCUGCCCUUCAAAUCUCAAUAUGUUCUAUAGCACUUGACUGGCUCUUAUAUUGGCACUUGUGCUGCAGACAUGACAACUCACUCAAAAUUAGCAUUGCAACUUGACUCUCACACAAUCACAUUUGUGAUUUUUACACUAGUUUCAAUUUAAGCUUGAAACAUCAAAUAUUAUUUAUGUAUCCUCAGCUACAACAAGCUCUCUUCUUCCCUAAUAAUGUUGUUUAAAGGGACACAAAAAUGCAAAAUGUAUAAUGUAAAAUAUUUACUGUGCAUCGUCUAUUCAACAACCAUUAAAUGUGAUAGUAAUGUUGAAUGAGUAUGCUGUAAGGUGUUUAUUGCAUCAUAAUGCUCUUAAUUAUUAUAAUAGUACUGAAAAUGUUUGGUGUAAAUUGUGAUUAAUCAUGCCCUUCUCACAAGGAAUAAAUAGUUUCCACAUGAAAAUUAAA
Molecule: long non-coding RNA, 1780 nt
Organism: Anguilla anguilla (European eel)
Lineage: Eukaryota; Metazoa; Chordata; Actinopteri; Anguilliformes; Anguillidae
Exons: 2
Source: RefSeq, a predicted model, not a curated record